RNAcentral lists this ribosomal RNA (493 nucleotides) under uncultured bacterium. RNAcentral's name for it is "partial 16S ribosomal RNA". It matches the Rfam family "Bacterial small subunit ribosomal RNA", at positions 29 to 523 of the family's 1533-position model. The record is from RNAcentral.
AUUGAACGCUGGCGGCAUGCUUUACACAUGCAAGUCGAACGGUAACAGGUUAAGCUGACGAGUGGCGAACGGGUGAGUAAUGCAUCGGAACGUGCCCGAUCGUGGGGGAUAACACUUCGAAAGAAGUGCUAAUACCGCAUACGAUCUGAGGAUGAAAGCGGGGGACCGUAAGGCCUCGCGCGAUCGGAGCGGCCGAUGUCAGAUGAGGUAGUUGGUGGGGUAAAGGCUGACCAAGCCGACGAUCUGUAGCUGGUCUGAGAGGACGACCAGCCACACGGGGACUGAGACACGGCCCAGACUCGUACGGGAGGCGGCAGUGGGGAAUUUUGGACAAUGGGCGCAAGCCUGAUCCAGCAAUGCCGCGUGCAGGAAGAAGGCCUUCGGGUUGUAGACUGCUUUUGUACGGAGCGAAAAGGCUCCCUCUAAGACAGGGGGCUCAUGACGGUACCGUAAGAAUAAGCACCGGCUAACUACGUGCCAGCCGCCGCGGUAA